UACGUAGGGUGCGAGCGUUGUCCGGAAUUAUUGGGCGUAAAGAGCUCGUAGGCGGUUUGUCGCGUUGUCCGUGAAAACUCACAACUCAAUUGUGGGCGUGCGGGCGAUACGGGCAGACUGGAGUACUGCAGGGGAGACUGGAAUUCCUGGUGUAGCGGUGGAAUGCGCAGAUAUCAGGAGGAACACCGGUGGCGAAGGCGGGUCUCUGGGCAGUAACUGACGCUGAGGAGCGAAAGCGUGGGGAGCGAACAGG
This 253-nucleotide ribosomal RNA is filed under the name uncultured bacterium. Its description in RNAcentral is "partial 16S ribosomal RNA". It matches the Rfam family "Bacterial small subunit ribosomal RNA", at positions 524 to 776 of the family's 1533-position model. The record is from RNAcentral.